ACAGCAUAUGGAAGUUCCUAGUGAAGGGGAAGAGAAGGGGCGGGCUGGGUGGCAACUCUCCGAGGGUGAGGAUUUCAGGAACCCCUUCCCCAGCUCUGCCCAAGAUUUUGGACAACCCAGGAGACACAGGGAUGCCUCGGCCACUUGGGAAGGCAGCCGGUGAGGCCAGCAGAUCCACCAAAUGUCACAGAAGUGUAUGCCCCCGUCCCUUCUUACAGACCGUGAGCUCUGUCACCCGGGGCCCUGGGACAGUGCCUGGUGUCCGGUGGGGGCUGGAUAAAUGAAAUGUGUCCUCUUCCUGCCAAAGGCAGAGGCAGAGUUUAGAAUAAGACCCAGGUUCAGAUCCAAGCCCAACAGUGGCUGGCCACUCCUGCACUGAAAGCUGGAUUGGUCUCGUCUACACUGUGCAGGGAAUAGGGCCGCCCUCACCGAGGACCUGGGGUUAUGACGUCAGGCCUGAGGCUGCAGGGCCCACCACGGUCCUGUUCACCGCCAGGUCCUGACACUGGGCACCGAGCUGCAAGCAGCAGGGCUGAGAGGGCAUCUGAACUCAAAGGCCACCCCGGGCAGGCUGCCCCCAAGAACAAAGCACACGACUCUCACAGCCAAAGCUUUACUCGCACCCCAAACGCAGCUUCAUUCACACUGCAAACAGGAGGACCUGCAGGUGUCUGGCUAGCGGUCUUAGCCCCCUACCAACCGGCCCUGCGCCAGCGGCUAGUACCUGUCCGAACCCCAGACACCCUGCCAGGCAGUGGGUGACAGCAGUGCCGGGUCCACCUCCCAGGAUGGCUGGGCUGCCGCAGGUGAGCUGUGCUAACAAGGAGCAUCCUGCACCCACCACCCGGUGUCAGUGCCAACGGUCUGCAGGGGACUAGAGCACCCCAGCCCCGCCCCCACUUGUCAGAUGGGGAGCCCAGAGAAGACCAGCCCCCGCCCUCAGUCCUACGGGGCGGGGACCGCCGGCACCCUUUCCCUGUCCCCGCUUCCACGGGUCUCCUAUGCUCCAUCUGCAUGAAAAGUUUGGUUUGAGGCAAAACUUAGAACUGCAGAAGUACAAAGUCCAAAUAAAAAGGCUUUGCAAUAGAAAGCCGAUGAAAGAGACAAAUGGAGAGUAAUCAAAACCUCAUUAGGGCAAAUAAGCAACCUGCCUACAACGCCACCAAAACGGAUGGCCCCCGAACCAAGAGACGCAGGCGCCAAGUCUUCCAGACAGCCGCCGCCACCGCCACCGCCGCCUCAGGAAUGAAAAUAGCAGGGGCGCCCUCACCCACACCGGCAGGAGCCGGCACAGCGCCAGCACUCAGGAGUCUCACCCAGGCACCCAAACUGGCCCAGGGCUGUGCUGCAUAACUGGACUGGUCAUGAAGUCACCUGAAGAGCUUUCAAACCUCGCGUGGCCUAGACCACCUGCAGGCGGGGUCCGGAAUGGGCAGGGUACUCUAAGGCUCUGGGUGCCCUGACCUGCAAGCAGGUCAGCUUUCACUGGCUGCGUUACCAGCUCGUCUCACCCCACUCGGGGCAGAGCACCCACGGCAGGGGCGCGAGAAGAGCAGGUCAAGGCCUGGAGGCUGGGCGGAUGCUCCAGCUGGGUGGGCUCACCGCUUGGAUUCUUCUGGUUGGUCUGGAUGAAGGUUGUCAGGCAUUCCUGCCACGGUCCAUCCCAUUGCUAGGUGCUGGGAACACAGCAGGAAAGGAGCAAAUUUCUGCCCUCGGGGAGUUUCUACCCUGCAGGGAAACUGCAGCGGAGUGGGGGCUGUGACAGAGGCGGAGAGGAGAAACCCAGCGGGUGGGAAGGACAAGCCAGAGGCCGCCCCCACUGUCACCUGCACCUUAGGACCCGCACCCGCAGAGGGUCUGGGCCAAAGUUCCAAAAGGAGUCAAGAAACCAAGGCAAGAUCUGGAAGGUCCCCAAGGCCCUUCGCAACCUGAAAGGAAGAGAAGAUAUGGAACGAGCCCGGACGCUGAUGCCUCGCGUCAAACCCCCACUGGGCACAAGUGAGCUGGCCCGGCAGGGCACAUCUCAUCCUGAGCCUACCCCAGGUGUGUGUGGGGGUUGUUUCCAAGGACCAGUGGGGGCCUGAGCACACGGGCUCGGGCCCAGCCUGCUCCCUGGCGGAGAGGCUCCCAGUGGCAGGAGCCACAUGUCCUAGAGGGUUCGGCUCUGAUGUCCAGCGCUCCGUCCUGCUCAGCUGAGAGGUCAUUUGCCGAGGCUGGGGUCCCAGGCUUUAGUCUUUGAAAAAGAGUGAUUCAUUAAGUCUGUGCUAGGAUUUUUAAGCCUCCAGAGGAGGCUUUGGUUCAUGAUAUAAAGGAGAAAAUGUAUUACCUACCCUAACUUUGGCUCAAACCACCCAGUCAUCUUAGAGCAAACUUGAAAAUAACUACCUUAGCGCAUUUCCCACAGGGCUGGUGGGCCCUGCAGGCCUGGCACUCCACCGCUCCAUUCCCCACUGGGCACAGAGCCACGGCCCUGUGAGGCUGGAAACGGGUAAGGCUGGUAACUCCACCACCUACAGACACAGGGGAGCAUGAGUGCUCAGACCUGGCUGAGAAACACAAUGUUGGGGCCGCCGCUCCAGGGUGCCCCAAGUCCUCGGCCUCUGUCCACACUCCUGAGACAUGGGUCACAGCUGAAUGGCAGCAAGCCUUUAUUUCCCACUUGCCAGAGCACCCUCUCCCUCUACAGAGGUCCCAGGGGGGCCACGGCCCCAAGCUGUGGGCCAGUGGGCGCUCCUGCAUGGCUCCACCAUGACAGGAGAGGCAGCUGACUCCAGAAGUUCACUGCAGGUUACCCCCCGCCCUGCCCCGAGCAGCAGCUCUGGUCCAGGCUCUACCAAAGCUGCUGGGGGCACAGACCUGACUCGUCUCAGCCCCCGUCACGGGCAGCUGUAAAUGACACCCGUCAGCGAAGGAGCUCUGGUUCACAGUCUAAAAGCCUGGUUGUCACGGAGAUAGGUCACAGGCUGUGCAAGUCAUCAAAGACACGGACCAAAGAUGCCAGGUGAGGGAGCAGCGGCCCUCUAUGUUCAGAGCCCUGGCUCCUCAAAGUGUGGUCCACGGGCCGCCUGCCUCUGCAUCUCCCGGGAACUUGCUGAAAUGCACGCCCUCAUCUGCGAUGGAUUGGAUGUUUGUGUCCCCAAAAUCUAUCUACUGAAGCCCUGAUCCCCAAUGUGAUGGCAUCUGGAGAGGGGCCUUUGCGAGGGAAUUAGGUUUAGACUCGGUCAUGAGGGUGGAGGUGCCACGAAGGGAGUGGUGGCCUUAGAGAGGGAUGAAGAGACCAGAGCUGGUGCUCUCUCCAUCAUGUGAGGACACAGCAAGGAGGCAGCUGUCUACAAGCCAGCCUUCACCAGAACCCAGCCACAAUGGCACCUCCAGAACCGCGAGAAAUACAUUCCUGCUGUUGAGGCCCGGCCUGCGGUACUGUGCCAGAGCAGCCCGGGCUGAGACACCAUCCUGCUGAGACAGUCUGCAUCCUAACAAGCGCCCAGGAGCGCUCCCACGUACAGGUGAGUCCAGAGGCCCUGCUUUAGAGGUGCCCUCGUCCCGCCUCUUCACUAAACCAGUGGGGAAACCCGGACUGAAAGAGGCUUCAGCCUAGAGAGCCGCGGGAAACCGCCCGGCCGAGCGAGUGGGAGAGGGAGGACGUGAGGCCAGGCUUCCUGCGGCUCAGGCCCAUGGGCGCCGGCGGCCGGGGCGGGGGCUUGGACCCCCAGAGGAACACGCAGGUCAGCCCACAGGCAUCCUGGGUUCCAGACUACACCCACGUACGAGCAGACGCGGGAGGAGGAAGAGUCAGGAAACCCUGUUCCAGCAGCACUGAGCCGCCUGGAGUCGGCAGGUGCGGCCGGCUCACGCACGAGGACACAUCCUGCCGACCCGCUGCAGACGAAGGCGGACGCUGUGCAGCCAUGAGGAACGGGCUCCAAUCAUCAAACCCGAGCAGAGCGAGAUGGCGGAGAAAGGAAGAAUGGGCCAAGCAGCCCAUUUGCUGUAAUGAAUUGGGCUGGACCGGCGGAGUCCAGACUCCCAACAUUCAUCAUGUGGCUAAGCCUGCGGAACCACAAACGUGUGGGACCGGAAAGCAGCUUCGAAGUUAUCGACUCCAGCUCCUCCUCAGCCCCUGCGAGAGCCUGUCGGCCAGGCGUCCCGCUCCAGAGGUGGGCUUGGCUUCAGCAGCCGAAACCCACCCCUCACCUUCAGAAUGCCGACGCAUUUCAACACAGCAGUUUCAGUUCUGGGAGCCAAGCUGCAGGAAAGAGGACCCCAAAGGUGGGAAACACCAGCCGUACCAACGUGUCUGAAGGUGGAAUGUAUACUAAAGCAGACUUGGCUGGCUCGGCGGGAGAUGCCAACAGAGAGAAAGGACCCCUGACCGAAGCACAGACAACUGAGAAGACAGUCUCUGAGCACCCAUGGUUUCCACAGGGCACCCAUGGCAGCGUGAGGCCCUGGGACACCCCCCCCACACACACGCCUUAGCCAGAUCUGGAGGCUCGGUCCCCACAAGCCAUAGCGGGACAGAUGUCACAGCCAGAUCCCUCCUAGCAGGGGCCGCCCAGACUCUAAAUAUGUUUGGCUUUGCUGGUCACGUCGUGAGCCCUGGUGCCACUCCUCAAGCCGACCACUGCAGUGUGAAAGCGGCUGCAGACGACGUCACGUGACUGAGCAGAACUGCGUCCGACAAAUCUUUAUUUACAAAAACAGCCCCGAGCUGCAGUGUGCCGAUCCUGGCCUCUUCCCUCCCACCUAUUAACGUUAAAAGGCAAAUAAAGCUCGAGGAAAAGUCCUAAACGUCCAACCUAGGGAAAGGGUUUAAUAAGCUAAGUCACUUGAAAUCGACUCAUUCGAUCCAUAUCUAUCGAGCGCUGCUGUGCCAGACACGGCUCGAGUCCUGAGGAUAGGGCAAGGAGCAAAUCGGCCAAGCCUGCUGUAUCAAAGAGAUGUGCUGAAAACUCUACGAAAACUUGUGAUUACAAGGAAAACCCUCACAGUGCUGUGUGAAAAGUAAA
This 5009-nucleotide long non-coding RNA is filed under the name Sus scrofa (pig). RNAcentral's name for it is "lncRNA (ENSSSCG00055025193.1)". Lineage: Eukaryota; Metazoa; Chordata; Mammalia; Artiodactyla; Suidae. The record is from RNAcentral.